This 814-nucleotide long non-coding RNA is filed under the name Arabidopsis thaliana (thale cress). RNAcentral describes it as "long non-coding RNA (ATHA_LNC000624)". Lineage: Eukaryota; Viridiplantae; Streptophyta; Magnoliopsida; Brassicales; Brassicaceae. The record is from RNAcentral.
UCAUAAUGUACCCAUUUCUUUCUUAUAACCUUUAAGAGCUUUCACACAACUUGGCCAAAAUAAAAAUAAAAAAGAAGCUUUCAUUUCACACACCAACACAUAUCUCUAAACACAUAAAUCUCUGGAAUUUACUUCCUUAUACGUCUCUAUUCUUUAUCAGCAUAUUUAUACAAGAGAGCCAAAUGAGAACUCACUCAUCUCAUAAAAACAAAAACAACAACACACAUUUCAAAGAACUCUGAAAUGGCAAACCAAAAAGGGUUACAUGUAGUGAUGAUGAUCAUCACUGUUUGGCUUCUUUAUGCAGCACCUAAUAUCCAUGGAUGGGGAAAAGAAGGUCAUGAAAUCAUCUGUAAAAUCGCUCAGGUUUUGAUUUUUUCAUCUACUUUUUCUUUCAGACUAUAAACUAAGUAUGUAAUAAUUUAAUAAAUUAAAGGAGAAAAAUAGACUAGGUUGGAUGAAACAGCAGCAAAGGCCGUGAAAGAGCUGUUACCUGAAUCUGCAGAAGGAGACCUCUCAAGCUUGUGUCUUUGGGCUGAUCGUGUCAAGUUCAGAUACCACUGGUCUUCUCCUCUUCAUUACAUCAACACUCCUGAUGCAUGCUCAUACCAAUACAAUAGUGAGCGUUUUUAUUAUAAUAUCCAUAUCACAAAAAAAUUAAAAGCAUAAGUGUUGUGUAUCCAACCACAUUUCCUUUGUUUCGGGUCCAAAGGGGACUGCAAGGACGAAUCUGGAGAGAAAGGAAGAUGUGUUGCGGGAGCCAUUUACAACUACACCACACAGCUUCUUUCCUACAAAACUGCAGCUUCAUCUC